AUGCAUCUUUAUUCAUCACUCAAUGCGAUUCAAAAUUUCCAACAAAAUUCUUCAUUCAUCGUUACAAAAUAUACCAAGAAAUCAUUCAAGUUUCUAUUCAUACAAGUUUCAUUCAAGAUUCAUUGGUUGAGAGACUUAGAAUGUCAAACUUACAAUGGAAAAGUGUGUUAUAAAUUUAUGUUUAUCGUUGGAAUUCGAAUAAUUACAAAUAUUGAUCCUUAA
Molecule: non-coding RNA, 222 nt
Organism: Vicia faba (fava bean)
Lineage: Eukaryota; Viridiplantae; Streptophyta; Magnoliopsida; Fabales; Fabaceae
Source: the annotation of a GenBank genome assembly